UACGUAGGGGGCAAGCGUUGUCCGGAUUUAUUGGGCGUAAAGAGCUCGUAGGCGGCUCAGUAAGUCGGGUGUGAAACCUCCAGGCUCAACCUGGAGACGCCACUCGAUACUGCUGUGGCUUGAGUCCGGUAGGGGAGCACGGAAUUCCUGGUGUAGCGGUGAAAUGCGCAGAUAUCAGGAGGAACACCAGUGGCGAAGGCGGUGCUCUGGGCCGGAACUGACGCUGAGGUGCGAAAGCGUGGGGAGCAAACAGG
This 254-nucleotide ribosomal RNA is filed under the name uncultured bacterium. RNAcentral describes it as "partial 16S ribosomal RNA". It matches the Rfam family "Bacterial small subunit ribosomal RNA", at positions 524 to 776 of the family's 1533-position model. The record is from RNAcentral.